GAUGAACGCUAGCUACAGGCUUAACACAUGCAGGUCGAGGGGAAACGGGAGAAUAGCUUGCUAUUCUUUGUCGUCGACCGGCGCACGGGUGAGUAACGCGUAUCCAACCUUCCCAUAACUAAGGAAUACCCCGUAGAAAUGCGGCCUAAUCCCUUAUGGUCUCUUAUGCCUGUCAUGGGAAUAAGAGUAAAGAUUUAUCGGUUAUGGAUGGGGAUGCGUCUGAUUAGCUUGCUGGCGGGGUAACGGCCCACCAGGGCAUCGAUCAGUAGGGGUUCUGAGAGGAAGGUCCCCCACAUUGGAACUGAGACACGGUCCAAACUCCUACGGGAGGCAGCAGUGAGGAAUAUUGGUCAAUGGGCGGAAGCCUGAACCAGCCAAGUAGCGUGCAGGAUGACGGCCCUAUGGGUUGUAAACUGCUUUUUAAGGGAAUAAAGAGGGGCACGUGUGCCC
Molecule: ribosomal RNA, 450 nt
Filed under: Prevotella sp. oral taxon 300
Lineage: Bacteria; Pseudomonadati; Bacteroidota; Bacteroidia; Bacteroidales; Prevotellaceae
Description: bacterial SSU rRNA
Rfam family: Bacterial small subunit ribosomal RNA
Source: RNAcentral